GUCAUACUACGGCGCAAUAAGGUCUAAAGUAAACGAUGAUCCCUAUGGAACUCUGAGUUAAAAUACGUAUCAAAAUGCAAAACCGCUUCCGGCCUGGAAAUUUUCUUCCGGGGCUGGUUACUUU
This is a regulatory RNA element of Brenneria goodwinii, 124 nucleotides long. It matches the Rfam family "Enterobacteria greA leader". The record is from Rfam. Lineage: Bacteria; Pseudomonadati; Pseudomonadota; Gammaproteobacteria; Enterobacterales; Pectobacteriaceae.